AGCAGCCGCGGUAAUUCCAGCUCCAAUAGCGUAUAUUAAAGUUGUUGCAGUUAAAAAGCUCGUAGUUGAAUUUCGGGGUCAGUAGAUUGGUCGUGCCACUGGUAUGUACUGGUCUUACUGGCUCCUCCUUCCUGAUGAACCGUAAUGCCAUUAAUUUGGUGUUGCGGGGAAACUGGACUGUUACUUUGAAAAAAUUAGAGUGUUUAAAGCAGGCUAACGCUUGAAUACAUUAGCAUGGAAUAAUGAAAUAGGACGUUCGAUCUUAUUUUGUUGGUUUCUAGGAUUGACGUAAUGAUUAAUAGGGAUAGUUGGGGGCAUUAGUAUUCAAUUGUCAGAGGUGAAAUUCUUGGAUUUAUUGAAGACUAACUACUGCGAAAGCAUUUGCCAAGGAUGUUUUCAUUAAUCAAGAACGAAAGUUAGGGGAUCGAAGACGAUCAGAUACCGUCGUAGUCUUAACCAUAAACUAUGCCGACUAGGGACCGGAUGAUGUUAAUUUUUUAAUGACU
This 506-nucleotide ribosomal RNA is filed under the name uncultured Glomus. RNAcentral describes it as "SSU rRNA". It matches the Rfam family "Eukaryotic small subunit ribosomal RNA", at positions 569 to 1076 of the family's 1831-position model. Lineage: Eukaryota; Fungi; Glomeromycota; Glomeromycetes; Glomerales; Glomeraceae. The record is from RNAcentral.